CUUUUACUUUGAUUUGAGUAGCAUUUACACAAAGUAAAGAUACUUUUACUUUACAUUUUUUAGUUCUUUUACAUAUCUGAUACCAGGAUAGUAUGAAGUAUGAUAGUAUGAAGAUUGGAUUAAGAAACAAUCCCUGUCUGACUGAAGCCAUGCACAUCUCUGUACUAGACCCCGCCUCCCUCACAUGUCUGUCUUUAAAACAAACCUCUGCCAAAACCUCAGUCAGUUUGAGGACAGCAACUGCUGCGUUCUAAAACACUGGUAGAAACAUGGACAAGAAAAUUGCUGUUGCAGGCCUCUGUUUAAUGAUGGCUCACUUGGCUUCUUCCUCUGUUCUGAUGUGCUACGUCACCAGCUGGUCCCAGUACAGAAAUGGUGAAGGACAAUUUAUCAGUGACAAUCUUGAUGCAAAUCUCUGCACUCAUCUGGUCUUUGCCUUUGCCAACAUGGAGAACA
Cynoglossus semilaevis (tongue sole) is the source of this 456-nucleotide long non-coding RNA. RefSeq lists it as uncharacterized. NCBI's taxonomy places the organism in Eukaryota, Metazoa, Chordata, Actinopteri, Pleuronectiformes, Cynoglossidae. The transcript is spliced from 4 exons. The record is from RefSeq and is a predicted model, not a curated record.